This 2974-nucleotide long non-coding RNA is filed under the name Homo sapiens (human). RNAcentral's name for it is "non-protein coding lnc-TSC22D2-1:2". Lineage: Eukaryota; Metazoa; Chordata; Mammalia; Primates; Hominidae. The record is from RNAcentral.
AGUGAUGUAUACUUGCACCCCAUUUACUCCUUUUCAAUAUUUCAGGAUACAUCUUUGUCCUGUAUUUCUGUACCAGUUCACAGAAUUUCUACAGCAAGAUCCCUUUAAAUGUAUGGCUUUCCUUCAUAGGUUGCAAGGAUUACUUUAUACAAGUGCUACUGUAACUAUAUCUUUUGUGGAGUACAAUUGGUAUGACAUGCUGUGUUCAUAGAUGAAAAUGCUAAGUGAGGCACUCUGAAGCAAGUUAAAGUUCACAGACAUUCUUGCUUGCCCACCACCCCCCCGAACCCCGCCAUGGAAUCAUCAAAUAAGAAAAAUAAGACAGAUUUUCAGAUUGGUGAUGGCAAAGUAAGACGCUGGUAUUUUGCACUGGCGCAGUCCAUUUAGUUGUUGAAUUUGUUCAGCAUACCUGGAUGGUGAGUGAGUUAGCUUUAUUUUUCAUUCUCAGCAGGGAAACUGAUAGACUAGGCAGUUUGGGGAAUUUUCCCAUUGUCUACUGUCAUGGGUCCAUAGUAUUUAAGUUUACAGACUACAACAUUGUCCACAGAAGCCAUAUUUAUCCCCUUGGAGGGAAGGGAAAGGUGUGCUAACUUAGAUCAUAAAAACAACUGAAUUUUAAAACAAGGCAAAUGCCACAGUUCAACUUCUCCAUAAAAAAGUUAAGUUCAUCUCUCCAUUCUUUUGCAUGCCUACAAUAUUUCCAUAUAACAACUGUAAAAUACUCUUGCCUGCUGCAAUCCAAAUGUUAUCCGGAUCACAGUUCUUGCUGUCAUUUCACAGGCAUGCAAUGUAUCUAUAGAUAGGUCAUAUCAUACCUGAGGAAGAUCAGAGACAGCAAGGGAACAUUUUCCCCACACUUGAGAUGGAAAUAAUAACAGGUCAGUGGCUAAUAAAAAGAAACAUGUAUGACUUUGUAAAACCCUAAAAGUGAUGUUUUCAAGAAAUUUAGGUUUCUUUUUUUUAUUUUAUAAAAAAAAUGUUGACAUGCAAUUUAAUUCUAUUUCAAUUUAGGUGCUGCAACCUGUACUGGAUGUUUGGGGAUAGAAAGAUGAAUGGGACAUGAUUUGUGUGCUCCAAUGAGCUCAGUCCAGUGUAAGUGUAAAAGUUAAAGUGCCAUAUUGUUUAUUCAGAGUAUAUGUUAUAGUUUGUGAACCUUAUAUCAUUUGUUAAAUGAAAGGUUUUUAUAAAUCAACAGUAAUAUUGCCAUCCCAUGUAAAAAUCCUUUGAUAUUGCCAGGAAACAACUUUAAAUCACCAGAAAGCUUUAACAUCAAAUAAUACUUUUAGAAGGAGGGGAAAAGCCUUCCACCUCGACAUCGAGCCUAUGAAGUAUUCCCUAAAAAAGAGGAACUAAUCUGAGAAAAGUUUACACAUUUUUAAUACUCUAAGUUGUAGAUAAUGAAAUUGAUUUAAAUCAAAGUUAACUAGAAUAGGAUUCAUGUGUCAUGAAUUAUAUUGUCUAUUGUCUCAUAAGCAACAAGUGACACUUAUUAUCUUGGCUGACAAAAUCAGCUACCAUUUAAUGAACCAAGUUAAGAAUAACUCAGGUGACUGAUACCAAAAAUAAAUCUCUAAUACAGCUGAGAAUCCAGAAACACAAAUAAUAUGUUGAGUAAGUAAUAAAAGUGACAUUUCAAAUUAGUAAGGAAAAAAUGGAUUAUUCAACAAAUAGUAUGGGAUAGCAUAACAAUUUAGAAGAAAUAUAAAGUUAGAUCUUUCACAAAAAUUAAUUCUAGCUAGACUAGCAGUUAGUCUUCUACUUUUUGGUUACUCCCUUUUAGAAAUUGGAAGCUAUGAAGCUAUAUACCCUGUCCAUUUGAAAAUGCACAUAAGCAAAGAACUUUACAAAUAGGUUAUAAAGAGAAGCUCAAUCUCAGCAAAAUAAGGGAAGUGCACAUUAAAACACAAGAAACCAUCUCAGAUCCAACUAAUAUUUAGCGUGCAUACAAAUCAAAAGCUGGAAAGGGUGUGGAAAAACAGGAAUACAUUGCUAGUGAGCAUACAAAUUGGCACAGCCUCUUUUAAAGACAAUUGUGUAUCACCCAUUAAAUUUUAAAAGUCACAUACCCUGUGACCUAACAAUUCCAACUUUUAAUGUCCUAAAGAAACAUACAUGUGUUCACAAGAUAGCCUGUACAAUGAUGUCAAUUGCACCUUUGCUUGUACAGUAGACCCCCUUAUCUGCAUUUUCACUUUUUGAGGUUUCAGUCAUCCAAGGUCAACCACAAUACAAAAAUAUUAAAUGGAAAAUUCCAGAAACGAACAUAAGUUUUAAACUUCAAACCUUUCUGCAUAGUAUAAUAAAAAUCUCUCACUAUCCCUCUCCAUCCUGCCUGGGACAGGAAUCAUCCCUUUGUCCAGUGUAUCCACAAUGUAUACACUCAUUAUAUACCCAUUUUAUAAUGCCCAUUAGUCAUUUCUAUUAUCAGAUCAUAAAAAAACAUAGUACAUAGAGGGUUUGGUAUUAUUCAUGGUUUCAGGCAUUCAGUGAGGGUCUUGGAAAAUAUCCUCCAUGAUGGGGGAGCUACUGUAAUACUAUGAAAUUGGAAAAACCAAAAUACUCAUCAAGAGGAUGGACUAUGGUACACAUGAUGAAGUAUUAAGUAUCAAUGAAAAAGAGAGAGUCCUACAUGUCCGGCAUGGAAGGAUCUCCAGGAGACAAUGUUAAAAGUUUGGGGGAAAAAUUGAAAGACAAUACCUGUAAUACAUAUGAUACUAGUGAUGUUAAAUCACAUCACACACACACACACACACACACACACACACACACAAAUACUGUAUAGUGUACUUCUACAAGUACAUAUUUGUGUAUUAUAUAGAGAGAAGGUCUGGAAGGAUACUAACCAAACUGUCAACAGUAGUUUGGUAGCGUGCAUUAGCUUUAACUGUAAUGUUUGAUGUUUUUGAAUAUGCAUUUAUGUAUUGUUUGUGUAAUGACAAAUUAAUAAAUUAGAAAUAAAAUAAAAUAAUGUGUU